UACGAAGGGGGCUAGCGUUGUUCGGAUUUACUGGGCGUAAAGGGCGCGUAGGCGGUGCAAUAGGUCAGGCGUGAAAGCCCCGGGCUCAACCCGGGAAUUGCGCUUGAUACUGUUGCGCUUGAAUCCAGGAGAGGAUGGCGGAAUUCCCAGUGUAGAGGUGAAAUUCGUAGAUAUUGGGAAGAACACCAGUGGCGAAGGCGGCCAUCUGGCCUGGAAUUGACGCUGAGGCGCGAAAGCGUGGGGAGCAAACAGG
RNAcentral lists this ribosomal RNA (253 nucleotides) under uncultured bacterium. RNAcentral's name for it is "partial 16S ribosomal RNA". It matches the Rfam family "Bacterial small subunit ribosomal RNA", at positions 524 to 776 of the family's 1533-position model. The record is from RNAcentral.